This 538-nucleotide ribosomal RNA is filed under the name uncultured microeukaryote. Its description in RNAcentral is "bacterial SSU rRNA". It matches the Rfam family "Eukaryotic small subunit ribosomal RNA", at positions 21 to 549 of the family's 1831-position model. The record is from RNAcentral.
UAGUCAUAUGCUUGUCUCAAAGAUUAAGCCAUGCAUGUCUAAGUAUAAACAUCUUUAUACAGUGAAACUGCGUACAGCUCAUUAUAUCAGUUAUUAUUUAUUUGAUGGUACCUUACUACAUGGAUACCCGUAGUAAUUCUAGAGCUAAUACAUGCGUCGAAUCUCGACUUCUUCGGAGGAAGAGAUGUAUUUAUUAGAUAAAAAACCCAUGUCGGCUCUGCCGUCCUCAUGUUGGUGAUUCAUAGUAACUGUUCGAAUCGCAUGGCUUUAUGCUGGCGAUAGUUCAUUCAAAUUUCUGCCCUAUCAGCUUUCGACGGUAGUGUAGUGGACUACCGUGGCAUUAACGGGUGACGGAAAAUUAGGGUUCGAUUCCGGAGAGGGAGCCUGAAAAACGGCUACCACAUCCAAGGGAGGCAGCAGGCGCGCAAAUUACCCAAUCCUGACACAGGGGAGUAGUGACAAAAAAUAACAAUACCGGGCCUUUUCAGGUCUGGUAAUUGGAAUGAGUACAAUUUAAAUCCCUUAACGAGGAUCCAUU